GUAAUAGUUUUAUUUUCAGUAGGUUAGUGGGUUACAAUAACUUGAAUUAGCAUCUACAAUUGUUGGUCUAACCUGUAUCCCAACAGUUAUCCCUAAAUGGUAAUUUAAAAAGAGAAAAAAAAACAUAGUUUUUUCAUCGAACUCUGUAGUGAACAUUGUGGAGCACUCCAGGAUGUAGGUUAUAAUAUCAAUAAAAAUGGUAGAGGAAGCAGUAGGAAAAUGGAAAAUAUACAAGCAGCUGCACCUAAUCCGGUGACAGGCAUGUUGCCACCGACUCUCUGUGGGCCUUACUUUGCAUACAGCGGAAAAAUCCUAACCUGUAAUAAUUGUGCCACAUAAGAAAUGCCAUUGAUAAACUUGGAAGCAAUGCCAGUUCAGCUCUAGAUAGCAAACUGAGGGUUGGUAGGUGACUUCAUUUUCCGGUGCAAGACAGCUUUUAAACACCAUUCUACAACUUUAAAUGCUAAUUGAACAUACUGUCUUAAGAGAUUUUUACCCCUAUUAGUCAGCAUAAUAUUCACGUAUACAAACAGCAAGUAGAAAGACAGCGAAUGUUCAAGCGAAUCCAUGUCACUGAAAAGACCAGCUAGCAUCUAAAAUUUCUACCCUAAAAUUGUAAUUUUUAAUAAUAAGUAAGGUUGAUAUCAUGUAUGAAACUAAGCUAUAACAUUAACUACAAACACACCAUAACCUUACAGCACAUCAUGUGUACCAGAACGGUACGAGAUCAGUGUGACUCAGGAUCAUCGAUGGGUGAGCCUUGUGUUUACUAACCUGUAAAUGGAUCACAUCAUUCUACAACAUAAUUUGGAGCCACCGCUAAUAUCCUGUCGUCUCUAGAUAAUGCCUGCCUUGCACCUUCCCCAACUGCUUCUGUCUGCCUGCCAUCAUCUACAACUAUCAAGAAGCCUUCCCUCCUUAUCAAACUCUCUAAAAUAGCUUUGAUUUUAGUGGCUUCAUUCUUUGCUUCCUCUACAGAACUGUAGCUGUUUUUCUGAUUCUGCUGUUCCACAUACCAUCUGAUCAGCUCCCCCUGCCUCAUUCCAGCCAGCCCAGUCCCAUCUCGCAUUACAGCUUCCUCAUGCUGUCUAAGGCGCAUGACCAGGGCUUGCGUAACCCUCUGAAAGUAUUCUUCGCUGAUCACAAGUUUUUUUCCUUGUUGGCUUGCUGAACCCACUCCUGUAUUUCCAGAAACUGGAACAGAAUCAGCAUUAUUUGGUAGAGCAUCACCUUGACCAGUACCAUCGUUUCCAUCAUCACCACCAUCAUUAUCAUCACGAUUUCCUUCUUGAAAUUCAGAUAGAUCAAUCUCACUGGACUCCACACUUAUAAUGGAUGUUUUCAGCAAUCUCACAGCUAAACGAACAUGGCGUGGUUGCACCUGAUUUUCCAAAUGACUUCGAGCAAUGGCUUCAGACAACCUAAUCAAUGCCUCCAGCUGUCUAACUGUCAUGCGAUAAGCAACUCUACUACCAGGAGUUGUAUCACCUUUCCGUAGGGCAACAUAUGAGUCCACUAACAGUUUUCUAGCUUCAGAAUUAAGCUUUGGUUUAAAAGUUUUUGCAUAUGCUAUGUAACGCUUUAGCUGAGCAGUUGUGAAUGCAGGCGCAAGUGCUUCUUCAUGUUUUUGAUGAACUCUUACAAUGUGAUGUGCAAUGUGGUAAUCAACUUGAUCAUCUGGAUCAUCAAUCAUCACAUAUACUAGAUCAAACCUUGAAAGAAUUGCUGGAGGAAGUGCCACAUUAUACUUAAGUGGUUUAGACUUAUCAUAUCGUCCUCCUGCAGGGUUGGCUGCAGCUAAGAUUGAUGUUCGAGCAUUAAGUGUUGCUUGUAUCCCUGCUUUCGUGAUGCUUAUUGUCUGCUGUUCCAUGGCUUCAUGAAUUGCAACCUGGUCUUUGAUGUCCAUCUUGUCAAAUUCAUCAAUGCAACAAAUGCCAUUGUCAGCAAGCAUCAGUGCACCAGCCUCAAUACAAAAUUCCCCAGUUUCUGGUUCUUUGGCAACUGUUGCAGUCAAGCCAGCAGCAGAUGAGGACUUGCCAGAUGUAUAGACAGAUCUAGGUACUAUACCUGAAGUAUACUUGAGAAACUGAGACUUUGCACAGCUGGGAUCUCCAACUAUACAGACGUUGAUGUCCCCUCUAAGAUUAAUGCCCUCAUGAGUGAACUUGUGGACACCACCCAAAAGCAUAAGAAGGAUUGCUCGCUUGAUAUCUUGGUGACCAAACACAGUUGGAGUAAUACUAUCAACCAGCUUGUUGAAGAAAUCGGGAGUGUUUCUCAUUCUCUGAAUUUCAUCUAGCUCCUCUGCACUGAACUGCUGGUUGUCAUCUUCAUCAACAUCCUUUUUUCGAUUCCUGACGUCGGUAUCCCUUCUACCAUCACAAACCUGCACUGAAUUGGCAAUAAAUGCUAGUCUAUAGGAGAGGUCUCUCACUCCCAAGGCCCGCAGACCUCUCACACCUUCUUGUCCAACAGCAGAGUUCUUGCGCUGAGGAGCUUCUCGCCGGCAUUCUGCUCUCUCUCCCGGGGAUGCUAGUGCUAAUAUGUCUGGUAUUACAACCACAGUACCUGUGAAAAUGACCGUGUCACCAGCUCUGGCCUGUUCAACAAUAUCAUGGCGAAGAAUAACAUCCAAAGAUCUGGGAAGAGAGCCAGCAGGAAUCUCUUUGGAAGUUUCCUGCAUUCUAACCCUCUGCCAAUCAGCAAAUUUGCUCUCUUGUCUGAGUAAUGCCCAUUUUGUUCUGUUAUUGCAUGUCGCAUUCACACAGAUAGUGGGCUCAGUGUAUUUGAACUGCUGUUCAACAUUCUUAAUGACGCCACCACAUUCUAAGCACCUAAAAGUUCCUUGCAGAAGCUCAGGCCUCACCUCACUCGUGCGGGUAACAACUCCACUCACUGAUACCAGUUUGCCAAUUUCUGCAGUAGUUAGCUCUCUUAACCGCUUAGAGAAAGGGAUAUUGAAGAAGGCCACAUUGAUAUCCUUGUUAGGGUUAUCAUCAGAUAUGAAUGUAGGCUUCAGCUCCAUCACAAACCUCUUGCACGCGUUCUUCAAGUAGGGCUCGACUCUCAAGUACUCAUCAGCGAUGGCUUUCUGGAGAAGAUCAUUGAAACGCAUAACGUGAGAGAAAUCGAUGAACAUGGUAGUUGAUUCGUUAGCUCUCAUGGCUUCAAUUUCAGCCUCAUAGUACGCUUCUCCCACAUUAUUAUGCCCAUCCAAUCUAAAGCUUUUGAGAAAGUCGAGGAAAAUGCUCUCCACUCGAACAGCCUUCACGUCAACGAAGAAUCCACCAGACGCAUCCAUUUCGAUUUCGUUUUCUUGACAAAAAAAUCAGUAAAGUUCUGAAGGUAAUGGAAACCUAAUUGAGUGUUUUGAUGGAGAGGAAGAAGAAGAUGAACCAGCCUUGCCAUUUUGGC
Molecule: unclassified non-coding RNA, 3414 nt
Filed under: Hevea brasiliensis (rubber tree)
Lineage: Eukaryota; Viridiplantae; Streptophyta; Magnoliopsida; Malpighiales; Euphorbiaceae
Source: RNAcentral